Molecule: ribosomal RNA, 731 nt
Filed under: Bacillus sp. (in: firmicutes)
Lineage: Bacteria; Bacillati; Bacillota; Bacilli; Caryophanales; Bacillaceae
Description: bacterial SSU rRNA
Rfam family: Bacterial small subunit ribosomal RNA
Source: RNAcentral
UGCAAGUCGAGCGAAUGGAUUGAGAGCUUGCUCUCAAGAAGUUAGCGGCGGACGGGUGAGUAACACGUGGGUAACCUGCCCAUAAGACUGGGAUAACUCCGGGAAACCGGGGCUAAUACCGGAUAACAUUUUGAACUGCAUGGUUCGAAAUUGAAAGGCGGCUUCGGCUGUCACUUAUGGAUGGACCCGCGUCGCAUUAGCUAGUUGGUGAGGUAACGGCUCACCAAGGCAACGAUGCGUAGCCGACCUGAGAGGGUGAUCGGCCACACUGGGACUGAGACACGGCCCAAACUCCUACGGGAGGCAGCAGUAGGGAAUCUUCCGCAAUGGACGAAAGUCUGACGGAGCAACGCCGCGUGAGUGAUGAAGGCUUUCGGGUCGUAAAACUCUGUUGUUAGGGAAGAACAAGUGCUAGUUGAAUAAGCUGGCACCUUGACGGUACCUAACCAGAAAGCCACGGCUAACUACGUGCCAGCAGCCGCGGUAAUACGUAGGUGGCAAGCGUUAUCCGGAAUUAUUGGGCGUAAAGCGCGCGCAGGUGGUUUCUUAAGUCUGAUGUGAAAGCCCACGGCUCAACCGUGGAGGGUCAUUGGAAACUGGGAGACUUGAGUGCAGAAGAGGAAAGUGAAUUCCAUGUGUAGCGGUGAAAUGCGUAGAGAUAUGGAGGAACACCAGUGGCGAAGGCGACUUUCUGGUCUGUAACUGACACUGAGGCGCGAAAGCGUGGGGGA